UACGUAGGGGGCAAGCGUUAUCCGGAUUUACUGGGUGUAAAGGGAGCGUAGACGGCGAUGCAAGUCUGAUGUGAAAGGCCGGGGCUCAACCCCGGGACUGCAUUGGAAACUGGCAUGCUGGAGUGCCGGAGGGGCAAGCGGAAUUCCUAGUGUAGCGGUGAAAUGCGUAGAUAUUAGGAGGAACACCGGUGGCGAAGGCGGCUUGCUGGGCUUUUACUGACGCUGAGGCUCGAAAGUGUGGGGAGCAAACAGG
Molecule: ribosomal RNA, 253 nt
Filed under: uncultured Eubacteriales bacterium
Lineage: Bacteria; Bacillati; Bacillota; Clostridia; Eubacteriales
Description: uncultured Clostridiales bacterium partial 16S ribosomal RNA
Rfam family: Bacterial small subunit ribosomal RNA
Source: RNAcentral